This 253-nucleotide ribosomal RNA is filed under the name uncultured bacterium. RNAcentral's name for it is "partial 16S ribosomal RNA". It matches the Rfam family "Bacterial small subunit ribosomal RNA", at positions 524 to 776 of the family's 1533-position model. The record is from RNAcentral.
UACGGAGGAUGCAAGCGUUAUCCGGAAUGAUUGGGCGUAAAGCGUCCGCAGGUGGCUAUGUAAGUCUGCUGUUAAAGAGUGAGGCUCAACCUCAUAAGAGCAGUGGAAACUACAUAGCUAGAGUGCGUUCGGGGCAGAGGGAAUUCCUGGUGUAGCGGUGAAAUGCGUAGAUAUCAGGAAGAACACCGGUGGCGAAGGCAGCUCGCUGGGACGUUACUGACGCUGAGACGCGAAAGCGUGGGGAGCAAACAGG